Scomber scombrus (Atlantic mackerel) is the source of this 513-nucleotide long non-coding RNA. RefSeq lists it as uncharacterized. The transcript is spliced from 2 exons. NCBI's taxonomy places the organism in Eukaryota, Metazoa, Chordata, Actinopteri, Scombriformes, Scombridae. The record is from RefSeq and is a predicted model, not a curated record.
AGAAAGAAAUGUUCAGCAGGAACAUUUAAAAAAGAAAUGGCCAAAAGACUGCGCUACCCACUGAAGAUGAUAUGAGCCAGACCCUGGCUCACCAAGAAUGACCAAAAUGUCUUGCAGGUACAUGGUGCACUAUGGCACACAGGAUGGAUGGACAUCGGCUGAGAAGACAUUUGUUGAGAUGACCAUGGUCAAAUAAAUCCUCAUACACAAAUACUGCUUAAAUACUAAAGUAAUUGAAUGCUCUGCAUUGUUGUGCAGCUCUGUGGAACACUGUUAGACACUUCUUUAAGAAGUUUCACUGAGAAGAGACACAUUUAUAAACUGUCUUUACACUACUAGCUGAAAUAGUCAGUUGUUACAGGUUGGUUAAGGCAAUCUGCAUUUUUUUUCUAAAGAGAUCACUAUUGUCAGAAAUGUCAAGUGUUAUCAUGAUUCUGUUCAAACUGUGCUUUAGAAAGUGCUGCUGUGGUGUACACUAAAGAUGGUGAUUUUAAUAAAGGCCUUUUUUCAACA